RNAcentral lists this long non-coding RNA (447 nucleotides) under Vigna radiata. RNAcentral's name for it is "long non-coding RNA (VRAD_LNC006226)". Lineage: Eukaryota; Viridiplantae; Streptophyta; Magnoliopsida; Fabales; Fabaceae. The record is from RNAcentral.
AGGAACUGCUUUAAUCUCCAAAUUUGAUCAAGCAGGGAGAUGUCCUCCACAACUGGAUCCAAGAAGAAGUGAUUGUUGAUGAGCGGGUUUAGCUGGUGCCUAUUAAUUUUCAAACUGUUGUGUAUACUAGCACCCUUGUCUUCCACCAUGGGUGUGUGUUGGUUAACUUCAUGUGUACCUCCUACAACAUGGUUAGUGCAAUAUAGUUCCAAAGAAAUGACAUGCAGGGGUAUAACACCCAAUCCCACUGUAACAAGCUGACCCUCAGAUAUACCCUCAGAACAUGAAUCACUUUCAAAUUCAGAAGCAAUAUCAACAACAAAAGCAGAUUCAUGUUCAGUGCAUAGGGAAUAAACAUUCAGACAAGAUGGAAAAAGUUGUUUCCCAUCAUGCAAAGAGUGAAAAUCAAAAGCAUGCUCAUCAACAUCAUAAUCAUCAACAUACCCA